RNAcentral lists this ribosomal RNA (480 nucleotides) under uncultured bacterium. RNAcentral describes it as "SSU rRNA". It matches the Rfam family "Bacterial small subunit ribosomal RNA", at positions 26 to 518 of the family's 1533-position model. The record is from RNAcentral.
AGGACGAACGCUGGCGGCGUGCCUCAUACAUGCAAGUGGAGCGACGAACCAGGAUUUAUCCUGGGGCAAAGCCGCGAACGGGUGAGUAACACGUGGGUUACCUGCCCCGAUGAUUGGGACAACCCGAGGAAACUCGGGCUAAUACCAAAUGUGUUCUUGGUCGUGAUGACCAAGAAGAAAGGAAGCCUCGGCCUCCGCAUCGGGAUGGGCCCGCGGCCCAUUAGCUAGUUGGUGGGGUAAUGGCCUACCAAGGCGACGAUGGGUAGCUGGUCUGAGAGGACGACCAGCCACACUGGGACUGAGACACGGCCCAGACUCCUACGGGAGGCAGCAGUGGGGAAUCUUGCGCAAUGGGCGAAAGCCUGACGCAGCAACGCCGCGUGAGGGAUGAAGGUCUUCGGGUUGUAAACUCCUUUCGAUAGGGAAGAUAAUGACGGUACCUAUAGAAGAAGCCCCGGCUAACUUCGUGCCAGCAGCCGC